UCCCAGGUGGUUCAGUGGUAACUCUGCCUGCCAAGCAGGAGAUGCAGGUUCAAUUCCUGGGCUGGGAA
RNAcentral lists this transfer RNA (68 nucleotides) under Ovis aries (sheep). It matches the Rfam family "tRNA". From Rfam's summary of the family: Transfer RNA (tRNA) molecules are approximately 80 nucleotides in length. Their secondary structure includes four short double-helical elements and three loops (D, anti-codon, and T loops). Further hydrogen bonds mediate the characteristic L-shaped molecular structure. tRNAs have two regions of fundamental functional importance: the anti-codon, which is responsible for specific mRNA codon recognition, and the 3' end, to which the tRNAs corresponding amino acid is attached (by aminoacyl-tRNA synthetases). tRNAs cope with the degeneracy of the genetic code in two manners: having more than one tRNA (with a specific anti-codon) for a particular amino acid; and 'wobble' base-pairing, i.e. permitting non-standard base-pairing at the 3rd anti-codon position. The record is from Rfam by way of RNAcentral. Lineage: Eukaryota; Metazoa; Chordata; Mammalia; Artiodactyla; Bovidae.